Long non-coding RNA from Solanum lycopersicum (tomato), 448 nucleotides. RefSeq lists it as uncharacterized. The record is from RefSeq and is a predicted model, not a curated record. NCBI's taxonomy places the organism in Eukaryota, Viridiplantae, Streptophyta, Magnoliopsida, Solanales, Solanaceae.
UAUUAUUAUUAUUCUUUAAAGAAAUAAAAACUACCCUAAAAAGUGUGUGCUUGCCGCAUCUGCAAUGAAGAGGACGACCUCCUGACAUAUGGUGUGCCGCGGUGGAUACUAUAUUUCGAGGGACAUACCAUGUGUCACGAGUGGUAACUAUAUUUCGAGAAACCUAUGAACACCAUGAUGGAUACUAUAUACUGAGGGUCAUAUUGCACGCCACAAUAGAUACAUGGACAGAUAUGUCUCCAAUUUGUCCCAGACUAAAAGACAGCGGGUGUGUAUCGUUAGGGUGGACAUGCAUCACUAUACUUGACAUUGCAUUUAAUUGCAUUGCACAUUUUUAGCAUUGCUAAACUUUAUAUUGUGUGUUGUGAUCUUGUGAGUGUCUUUCUGUGGAACUUUGAUCGAUGAAUAUUGAGCUUGUUGUUGAGAAAUAUUAGAGUGUUGUUGUUAA